This 471-nucleotide ribosomal RNA is filed under the name uncultured Proteiniphilum sp. Its description in RNAcentral is "bacterial SSU rRNA". It matches the Rfam family "Bacterial small subunit ribosomal RNA", at positions 916 to 1381 of the family's 1533-position model. The record is from RNAcentral. Lineage: Bacteria; Pseudomonadati; Bacteroidota; Bacteroidia; Bacteroidales; Dysgonomonadaceae.
GACGGGGCCCGGCGACAAGCGGAGGAACAUGUGGUUUAAUUCGAUGAUACGCGAGGAACCUUACCCGGGCUUGAAAUGCAUCUGACCGGCCUUGAAAGAGGCACUCCCUUCGGGGCAGAUGUGUAGGUGCUGCAUGGUUGUCGUCAGCUCGUGCCGUGAGGUGUCGGCUUAAGUGCCAUAACGAGCGCAACCCUCAUCAUUAGUUACCAUCAGGUAAGGCUGGGGACUCUAAUGAGACUGCCAUCGUAAGAUGUGAGGAAGGUGGGGAUGACGUCAAAUCAGCACGGCCCUUACGUCCGGGGCGACACACGUGUUACAAUGGGUGGUACAAAGGGCAGCUACCUGGCGACAGGAUGCUAAUCUCGAAAACCGCUCUCAGUUCGGAUCGGAGUCUGCAACUCGACUCCGUGAAGCUGGAUUCGCUAGUAAUCGCGCAUCAGCCACGGCGCGGUGAAUACGUUCCCGGGCCUU